Molecule: ribosomal RNA, 207 nt
Filed under: uncultured bacterium
Lineage: Bacteria
Description: partial 16S ribosomal RNA
Rfam family: Bacterial small subunit ribosomal RNA
Source: RNAcentral
GGUGUAGGCGGUCGUGCAAGUCGGAUGUGAAAUCCCUCGGCUCAACUGAGGAAGUGCAUUCGAAACUGCUCGACUUGAGUAUGGGAGAGGAAGGUGGAAUUCUCGGUGUAGCGGUGACAUGCGUAGAUAUCGGGAGGAACACCGGUGGCGAAGGCGGCCUUCUGGACCAAUACUGACGCUGAGACCCGAAAGCGUGGGGAGCAAACA